This 460-nucleotide ribosomal RNA is filed under the name uncultured bacterium. Its description in RNAcentral is "partial 16S ribosomal RNA". It matches the Rfam family "Bacterial small subunit ribosomal RNA", at positions 338 to 795 of the family's 1533-position model. The record is from RNAcentral.
CCUACGGGAGGCAGCAGUGAGGAAUAUUGGUCAAUGGGCGCGAGCCUGAACCAGCCAAGUAGCGUGAAGGAUGACUGCCCUACGGGCUGUAAACUUCUUUUAUAAAGGAAUAAAAUGAGGCACGUGUGCCUUUUUGUAUGUACUUUAUGAAUAAGGAUAGGCGAACUCCGCGCCAGCAGCCGCGGUAAUAUGGAGGAUCCGAGCGUUACCCGGUUUUUGUGGGUUUAAAGGGAGCGUAGAGGGGUUGUUAAGUCUGGUGUGAAAGUUUGCGGCUCAACCGUAAAAUUGCAAUGGAUACUGGCAGUCUUGAGUGCAGUUGAGGUAGGCGGAAUUCGUGGUGUAGCGGUGAAAUGCGUAGAUAUCACGAAGAACUCCGAUUGCGAAGGCAGCUUACUAAACUGCCACUGACAUUGAUGCUCGAAAGUGUGGGUAUCAAACAGGAUUAGAUACCCUUGUAGUC